GGGGAUAUGGCGGAACUGGUAGACGCGCUAGACUCAAAAUCUUGUUGCCUCAGGCAGUGUGAGUUCAAGUCUCACUAUCCCUACCA
This 86-nucleotide transfer RNA is filed under the name Alphaproteobacteria bacterium. Its description in RNAcentral is "tRNA-Leu". It matches the Rfam family "tRNA". From Rfam's summary of the family: Transfer RNA (tRNA) molecules are approximately 80 nucleotides in length. Their secondary structure includes four short double-helical elements and three loops (D, anti-codon, and T loops). Lineage: Bacteria; Pseudomonadati; Pseudomonadota; Alphaproteobacteria. The record is from RNAcentral.